GUCCCAGGGGAUGCUCGUCCCAGCGAGGGGGGAUGCUCGUCUGGGGGGAUGCUCGUCCCAGCGAGGGGGGAUGCUCGUCCCAGGGGAUGCUCCUCCCGACGCCCGUGCAGAGAGGGAGAGCCGGGGGUGCACGUGUGCCUGUGCACACGCGAGAAACCUGUUUUCAAACCAACCCGACUCGCAUCCUGCCCCCGCGCUGUGAGUCAGGGGCCGGGGCCUUCCCGCACCGCAGCAGUGACCCGGGGUGGGGGGGGAGACACUCAGUUGGGGCCACUGUGGGGUCUGGAGAUGCCCCUGGGGUGAUGGAUUUGGCAGUSGGCAGGGAGGGAGGGAGGGGAAAGCCACCGGCGGUGGGGUGACGCUGCCUGCCGCAGCGGGGACAAGGGAGGGUACAGACCCCCUCCUGAUCAAAAUGUCCUUUUCUUCUUUUUUUUCCAACCCCCCCCACUCCCGGCCUGCUCAGAAAGCUGCAGUCACACCAGGGAGAAAACCACGAGGCCGACCCAAAAAAUCGCAGCAGGACGAGGAAGAGGCGAACAUUUCCCAGGAGUCGUCCGAGGAGGAGCAGUGAGAGCUCGGUGCUACCUCAAGCCCCCGCGGGCCCAGGGUGGGGGGAGCCCCGGCUUUUCCCCCCCGCCGCCGCGCCGCUCUCCCGCCCGGACACAGCAGCACUGGAAUACAGCUCCCGCGCCCCUUCCCGCUGCCCCCCGGCAUGGCGGCGGGGGGGGGAGCCUUCGCCCUGCUGCCCCCUCCCCGCUUUCGUGCUGGCGGUUUGGCCCCGCGGGGAGGGGGCAGCAACGGCGAGACCCCCCCAGUGCAGAGCCAUGCGGGGAAAAGCUCUGCUCCGGCCGCUGCUAACCCGGGAUAACCCCCCCCUGCACCCGGAGCUGCUCCGGCGGGUGCUUCCCGCCCGGGCGCCGCCUCCCGUGGGCUUUUUGGGGGGGUUUUGUAUUUUUUUCCUCCUUUCAGUCGCAACUACCUCUGGAUAUUUAAGUUCCACUCUCCGACCGCACCGACAUGCUGCUGCACCGGCCGCGAGGGUCGCUCCCGGCGGGGGCCCCGCCGGCUCGGCUUUCCUUCCUUUCCUCGGGGUUUGGGUUGGAUUUGGGUUUUUUUUUCCCCUCCUUCCUCCCCUCCGGCCACACUGAAUCAGCACCAAGCAGAGCCGGGGGCGCCGAGGGCAUCGUGGGGUUUUUCUCCCAGUUUCGGGCUUUUUUUGUUUUUAGGAUGAUCUUAGGGAUGGGGCUGCGCUGCUGCCGGGGGGGCGGCGGAGGGCCCUGCGCAGGGGAAAAAAAUUGUGUGUUUUUUUUUCUUUUYGGUCCACCGUUAACGACCUUUCGGUUUCCUACUCGCAGUUAC
RNAcentral lists this long non-coding RNA (1359 nucleotides) under Dromaius novaehollandiae (emu). RNAcentral describes it as "lncRNA (ENSDNVG00000014227.1)". The record is from RNAcentral. Lineage: Eukaryota; Metazoa; Chordata; Aves; Casuariiformes; Dromaiidae.